This is a long non-coding RNA of Syzygium oleosum, 1153 nucleotides long. RefSeq lists it as uncharacterized. The record is from RefSeq and is a predicted model, not a curated record. NCBI's taxonomy places the organism in Eukaryota, Viridiplantae, Streptophyta, Magnoliopsida, Myrtales, Myrtaceae. The transcript has 5 exons.
GGGAAGAAGACAGAAAAGAAGCUGAAAUAGCAUUGCAGAUCUUAGAAGGGAUCAGCAGUAACAGUUCAACGAAUGGAUCAGACUCAGAGCAUCUUCUGGAAGCUGUAGCGGCUAAAGUUUGACAGAGUGGUCAUGACGAAAAAAAUGAGGGAUCAUUUUCCAAAUCGUUAUGGUCUCCAAUGGUUUCAGGAAGAGUUUCAGUAGCUUCCAGCUCUAGCCCUUCUAAGUUCACUGCUCAAUCAGUGGGUUAUUCAAUUGAUCAGCCCUAUCAUAGGGAAGGACCAGGCUUAAGUUAAUCAGACAGAAGUCUUGCUAAGUCUUCCACAAGUAUUUCCUCUUCUUGUCAAACUUCACGUGGCAAGCUCUUAGACAGGUCAUCGGAGCUUGCGAAAAACAGCAAAAGAGGGCUAGACCUGGGGAAAAUCUUACGCCCAGGCCUAGGGACAGACAACUGAUUCAAGAUUUUCUAAAGGAACUAAGAGAGUUGGUGCCCAGUGGGUCAAAGGCAAGUUCAAAUUGUAGUAUCGAUGCACUGUUGGAGCACAUAAUCAAGCAUAUGCUUUUUGUACAGAGCAUCACUAAGGACGCUGACAAGCUAGACAAGUGCGCCGAAUUGAUGCUCCAUCACAAUGAACCAGAUGUACGGGGAACCUCCAAUAAUGAACCAGGAUCGAGCAGGACUGUGGAGGUGGGCAUCGAUCUCAAGGUUUACUCAAUCAUGGUCGAGAAUCUUUGAAAGAAGCCAUCUGCUUUUAGAGAUGUCGUGUGAAGAGUGCAGUCAUUAUCUUGAGAUAGCAGAAACAAUUAGAAGCUUGGGUCUGACAAUCUUAAGAGGUGUUGCCUAAGCAUAAGGGGCAAAAUAACAAUAAGCAUCCACAGAAUGGAUGUCUUGGGGUCACUUGCAAAUAUUGCAAACCAAGACUUCAGCUUGAAACACAACUUGCAGCCCUUGGCCUUAAUCCAGUAGAUACUCUGUAAUAUGUGCAUGUAAGUCAUCCGUGACAUGGAUUGGUCCAAUUCUAGUUUGACCUUUGUGUUUUGUUUCUCCUUGGCAUUGGGGAGGAAUCCUUGUUUUCCUGGUGAGUUCAUUUGUGAAGAUGAGUGUUGACCCUGUUACAACAAUGAGCUAACGUGAAUGGGGUUUAAGUUUCAA